AUGGAAACAGUGGCCCUCCUUAGAAGCGCUUCUGGACGCAAGAUGAUAAUCUCUAUCUCUAUCUCUACUCUCUAUCUCUCUAUCUCUAUCUCUAUCUCUAUCUCUAUCUCUACCUCUACCUCUCUACCUCUACCUACUAAUAAAGCAGCUACUGCUUCUGGUCGUACGUCGUCAGCGUUUUUACAAAAAAGUCCCUAUGAUAUAGAGUAUUCAACACACAUUCCAUCUAAGUGGGGAGAAGAGGGGCAGGGGCAGGGACGGGGAGGGAGAGGGGCAGGCCGGGGAUGGGGAGAAAGAGGGGCGGGGGUGGAGAAGGGUAGGAAGAGGGGCAACGAGGAUGGAGGCGGAGGAGGAUACCGCGGGCCCUGUAGGGCGAGAUGGAGGAGGAGUACCUCGCCGCGGCCAGCACCACCAGCAAGGCCAUGGCCAUGA
This 432-nucleotide ribosomal RNA is filed under the name Triticum aestivum (bread wheat). RNAcentral describes it as "partial small subunit ribosomal RNA". Lineage: Eukaryota; Viridiplantae; Streptophyta; Magnoliopsida; Poales; Poaceae. The record is from RNAcentral.